RNAcentral lists this ribosomal RNA (754 nucleotides) under uncultured Pseudomonas sp. Its description in RNAcentral is "bacterial SSU rRNA". It matches the Rfam family "Bacterial small subunit ribosomal RNA", at positions 28 to 777 of the family's 1533-position model. Lineage: Bacteria; Pseudomonadati; Pseudomonadota; Gammaproteobacteria; Pseudomonadales; Pseudomonadaceae. The record is from RNAcentral.
AUUGAACGCUGGCGGCAGGCCUAACACAUGCAAGUCGAGCGGUAGAGAGAAGCUUGCUUCUCUUGAGAGCGGCGGACGGGUGAGUAAUACCUAGGAAUCUGCCUGAUAGUGGGGGAUAACGUUCGGAAACGGACGCUAAUACCGCAUACGUCCUACGGGAGAAAGCAGGGGACCUUCGGGCCUUGCGCUAUCAGAUGAGCCUAGGUCGGAUUAGCUAGUUGGUGAGGUAAUGGCUCACCAAGGCUACGAUCCGUAACUGGUCUGAGAGGAUGAUCAGUCACACUGGAACUGAGACACGGUCCAGACUCCUACGGGAGGCAGCAGUGGGGAAUAUUGGACAAUGGGCGAAAGCCUGAUCCAGCCAUGCCGCGUGUGUGAAGAAGGUCUUCGGAUUGUAAAGCACUUUAAGUUGGGAGGAAGGGCAGUUACCUAAUACGUGAUUGUCUUGACGUUACCGACAGAAUAAGCACCGGCUAACUCUGUGCCAGCAGCCGCGGUAAUACAGAGGGUGCAAGCGUUAAUCGGAAUUACUGGGCGUAAAGCGCGCGUAGGUGGUUUGUUAAGUUGAAUGUGAAAUCCCCGGGCUCAACCUGGGAACUGCAUCCAAAACUGGCAAGCUAGAGUAUGGUAGAGGGUAGUGGAAUUUCCUGUGUAGCGGUGAAAUGCGUAGAUAUAGGAAGGAACACCAGUGGCGAAGGCGACUACCUGGACUGAUACUGACACUGAGGUGCGAAAGCGUGGGGAGCAAACUGGG